GCCAUGCUUAACAAGCAUCUUCGGCAGUGGCAGCUUUGGGAGGGCCAGGGACGCGGGGGUCAGUUGGCACAGCAACUGCUACUCAGGGACAAAAGGAGGCUUUCGUGGCGGCGGUAGCAGCUGCUAUCCCGAAUAGCAAAUCCACACGGCUUGGCACCACUCCAGCUUCCUUGAGGGUUGCAGAGGGAUGGUGUGUUGGAGGGGCGAUCCGUCCCUUUCUGUGUCACGGAUUCUGGUUUUCCUGGCAGCUUUUCUUUCUGAAAAAGCCUUGGCACAGAGCACUGUUGGAGCCCAGUGCAGGAGGUCACAGCCUUCAUGUCCCUGGGGCUCUUCCAAGUUAUGGACUUCACCAACGGAUCUCUUCUAAACCAUCCCAACUGAUUUUUUUCUUCCUGAAGUCCUCUGCAGCACAAAGGUUAGAAAUUCAGUUCUAAGUGAACGAGAGCUGAGAUUCUCCUGUGAUCUUCUCGCUCUGGGAUCCAGGACCCAAUUCAAAAGUUGGAUCAAAGGCCCAAGAAUGAAGAAAUGGAGAGCCAAGGGGAACAGUUCUCAUGCUAUCCCCAGUAUACGUGUCAUUAUUUCAUAGGUUUCGAUGACAUGGAAGCUUCAGAAAUCCGGAUAUAUGCCCUUGACUUGGUCACCUUAUUUAUUAGAGCUGAAAAAUGCAGGAACUAAGCGAUAAAACUGAGUGAGAGAAAUCUUUGCCACCCUGGAAAACAUUCAAGAUUGAGCUACAGCAAUAAUAAUAAUAUUGGUACUGUUCUUGGCCCAGAUGUGGAUGUUAAAUCAUAAUUUGAAAUUCCAGCGAGUCACAGAGGGAAGGGGCUGCGCCAGCUGAAGCCUUUGGUUUGGUCCAAGCUGGCUUUGGUGGCUGAGCCUGGGGUUUUGUGUUUCGGUUUGCAGUUAGCUUAAGCCUGAGGACAUGGAUUCCCUCCAAGCUGUGUGUAUAUGGGAGAACUCUGUGCUGGAAGACGAUACGUGGUGACUUCAGAGCUUUCUCCAGCGGUUUCUUUGUCAAGUGAUACUGAAGUGAUUCAAAACAGGAUUUUGCUGGGAAUUAACUGAAGUGGCGUGGCGUGUUUUAAUGUAAAAACCCCAUGGCCAUGUCAGGUAGAGCCCAGCAGUGCUGUGAAGCCACUGUCCCCAUCUGUCCUGUAGGAUGAGAACAGCUCUUCGUGUUUCCCUAUGGCCUUUGCAGUGAUGGCUCCUAGCCAUGGUGAAUAUGGCCCUAGUCCUAGCCAGGAAAAAAUGGGAUAUUUUUGCUUUUCAGCUUCCUGAUUGAAAGCUCUGUAUCUCAAGAAUCUGUUUGGAAUUAAACGUUUUGAAGCCUUUCAACUGGUUUUUCCCAUCCUCUUUCUAUUGAGAAAAAUGUGACUUUUCUGUGAUGCCGAACAUGUCUUUCCAGCUGGAAGUUUAUUUUUCCUUAGCUGCCCCUUCUCAUGUCACUGGCAGUAAAUUUUGCUGUAGUCUUUGUGCAUAGACUUCAAAAUGCUCGGAUUUUUUCAUCAAAGCAGAAAGUUUCUGUUUUUCUUCAUACGCAUAUUUCUGCAUUUCUUCUGGGCUCCUCUCCUCCCAGCCCAAACCUCUGCAUUGCUGCCAGUGUGCUCAUCACUCAGCUCUUUCAAAGGACCCAUCAAAGUAAUUCAGCUUCCUCCUUGGGGUGAGCCUGGUUUGCCUGUCCUUUAAUGAAUGCUAUCACUUUGCAGGAGAAAAAUUAUGACAACAAAAGCCAUUGAAAGUCACUUUGGUGAAUAAGUUGGUAUCGAAGCCGGUCUGGAUUUAGAUCUGCUGUUUGCAUGAAAAGCUCUGCAAUGUUUGAUUUCUCAAAUGAAACCAGUCUCGGAGAUCCAAUAAAA
Lagopus muta (rock ptarmigan) is the source of this 1856-nucleotide long non-coding RNA. RefSeq lists it as uncharacterized. Lineage: Eukaryota; Metazoa; Chordata; Aves; Galliformes; Phasianidae. The record is from RefSeq and is a predicted model, not a curated record. The transcript is spliced from 3 exons.